GCGGCCUAUCAGCUUGUUGGUGGGGUAAUGGCCUACCAAGGCAACGACGGGUAGCUGGUCUGAGAGGAUGAUCAGCCACACUGGGACUGAGACACGGCCCAGACUCCUACGGGAGGCAGCAGUGGGGAACCUUGCGCAAUGGGCGAAAGCCUGACGCAGCAACGCCGCGUGCGGGAUGAAGGCCUUCGGGUUGUAAACCGCUUUCAGCAGGAACGAAAAUGACGGUACCUGCAGAAGAAGGAGCGGCCAACUACGUGCCAGCAGCCGCGGUGACACGUAGGCUCCAAGCGUUGUCCGGAUUUAUUGGGCGUAAAGAGCUCGUAGGCGGUUUAGUAAGUCGGGUGUUAAAACUCUGGGCUCAACCCGGAGACGCCAUCCGAUACUACUAUGACUUGAGUUCAGGAGGGGAGACUGGAAUUCCU
RNAcentral lists this ribosomal RNA (422 nucleotides) under uncultured Actinomycetes bacterium. RNAcentral's name for it is "bacterial SSU rRNA". It matches the Rfam family "Bacterial small subunit ribosomal RNA", at positions 233 to 671 of the family's 1533-position model. The record is from RNAcentral. Lineage: Bacteria; Bacillati; Actinomycetota; Actinomycetes.